Cryptomeria japonica (Japanese cedar) is the source of this 1200-nucleotide long non-coding RNA. RefSeq lists it as uncharacterized. The transcript is spliced from 4 exons. Lineage: Eukaryota; Viridiplantae; Streptophyta; Pinopsida; Cupressales; Cupressaceae. The record is from RefSeq and is a predicted model, not a curated record.
CACUUUUGUAUCGGCUUGAACGUUGUUGCUUUAUUACACAGACCUUGGAGCGGGAACGUUGGAGCCUGAUGCCAGCUAGGCUAGCCGUUGGGAGAUUCAUACAAAUCUUACGGGAACGAUUCAUUCGAAGAGCUAUAAUUAGAGGCAAUCAGGAGAUUCAUACAUUUGAAGCUUCCAACUGAAGAAAAAUGAAGGAGCAAAUAAAAUGAGGGCAAGAGAGGAAGAGCAUUUGUGGCAGGGAUUGGCAGUGGGACUGGGCACUCCAUUUGCAUUGGAGUGUUUCCUCAUUCCAAAACAUUGGACAGAAGAGGGUUUCUGGUAGAGACCGAGCUUUGCAUAUGCAUUGGAGUAGAAGGUGCUUACAGUUGAUGAAUCGCACUAUCAAAUGAUUCAUCUCUUUGAAAGAUUAAGAAACUAAGUCCCAACUGAUGAUCCAUGCAAUGAAAUUCUUGGUUUGUGGUUAUAGGGCUUGACAGUGAGCUGGUUAUUUUUAAUCAGCUUCAAGUAGCUAUUUAUACAGCCAUUGGGAGAUUCUUUAUUUGAAGCCUCAAACUGAAGGAAAAAGAAGGGGCGAAUAAAAUUAGGGUAAGACAGUGAAGAGGAUUUGUGGCGGGGACUGACAGUGGGUCUGAGCUUUGCAUUUGCAUUGGAAUGUCUUGUCAUUUCAAAACAUUGGGUAGAAAACGAGUUGUGGUAGGGACUGAGCUUUGCAUUUGCAAGAUUUAGAAACUAAGGUGUGUUAGAAGUUUGUUAGCUCUAUCAUCUUUGUCUCAAUUUGCUAAAGAUUUUCCUUUCAUCUAGUAAGCAUAGUUUCUAUGAUCUCUUUUGUUUGAAUUAAAAUGUUUCUUGUUUGAAUCAAAACAUGCAAUGAAAUUCUUGGUUCGUGGUUAAAAGGCUUGACAGUGAGCUGGUUGUGAUCAAUCAGGUAUGCAGGAAUUCAGACUUCUUUUUCAAAAUUUAGUGACAAUUUAACAAAAGUUUGGACAAGUGAGAACUUGAACACAAAGAAUUCAUUGGAGGAUUUGUGCACAACAAAGAGAACUUGAACAUGAAGAAUUCAAAGAAGGCAAUGACUUAUGGUAUUGUUUAAUGGUAGAAUGGAAGUACAAAAUAUGUAACAUUUCAUUUGAAUUGAUUAUUUUUAUUUAUUGUAAACAUUCCUCAACAAUUUUAAUUAAUAAAGAUAUACAAUUCUUUUUA